CAAAAUGACAGUUAUGAAGUAGCAACAAUGUUAUGGUGGGGGGUCACCACAACAUGGGAACUGUAUGAAAGGGUGGUGACAUUAGGGAGGUGGAGAACCGCGGCUCAAAGAUGUGCGCACCUCACUGUUGUUUGCCUGACAACGGAGCCAUGGAGGUGAGUUCAGUUUAAGAUCUGAUGGGUGGCUAAGGACUAUAGUCUUGGGGUUCCAUCUGUCUGACCAGCACGCCUGGUCUCUCGCUUGACACUGAAUUUUGUUCCCCAUUUUUCUCCCAUUCUCUUCAGGACCUUCUAAUUCAUCCUGAUUUGAGAGCAAUUGGUGGUGGGAGCCAGAUAAACCAACUCGUUCUUCUGGUCUCCGGGUCAUGAAGACUGAAUUCAGAGUGGUCUAGUCUGCUGGACUGAUAAUAGUUCCAUCUGCCUUUGAUUUCCAUCAUUCCUCUUACAUUUGGACAGGGACAGACCAAUUGUUGCACUGGAGAAAGCUGCUCACAGCUUUCAAACCCUAGUCACCAAAGUAGGAUGGGGGCUUUGUGGACUAGGUUAUGCCAACUGACGUUGGUGUCCCCCGAGACUAUGGUCCUGAUCCCUCAAACUCAUUCCCCAAGGUGCCUCAUGAUGUGCAGGAGGUGCUCUUAACUUUGCCCUCUGGUGUUCCACCCACCACAUCCAUGGAUAUAGUUACAGCAAAGUUGUGAAAUGUCCAUGUACAACUAUCCUGCCUCCCUCUCUCUCUCCCUCCAAGACACACACAUUCGCUUCGUCCACAGGUGUUUCUUCUUGGGCAGUGCUGCCCUUUUGAUCUUGUAAGGUUGAUUGUUCUGCGAAGUGUAUGCCUCCCUGGUGUGUGUUGACCCUAACAGGUCUGUCUAUGGUUUUGUUCAAAGUUGGCCCAUGAGUUGAGUUCAGGUCCAGGCUUGAAAGGAGUCUAGGGGCUCUGUUGUUGGGCUUUCACCAGUUCCUAUCAGACCAGUAAGACCAGGCGUGUGUUAUUUGGAAGGAUGUUCCAGUUUCCCCCACUCUACAGGACGUUCUAGGGUGAUCCCCCGUCAGUUGUCAGCCACGGGAACUAAGCACUAUCUAAGUCUUAGGGUCUCAGAUUCAUGUGAUCCAUGUGAUCUGAGCUAAUCAUUUCCUUAUGUUAAUAUGGUAACUCUAUCUGUACCUAUCUUUUGUUUACUGUGGUAAAUACAUGUAGAGUAAGAAAAUUGACAUUUGUAUAAUUUCCACCUAGUCUUUUCAGCUUAGUGAUGUAUUGUGUUCAGCCAGCACCCUGAUUCGUUCCCCGAUAGACAUGCUCACCUAAGCACCCAGACUCCCUUCCUACCUCUGGUAACAUGACAAAUUCAACCUCUCUUGCAUCCUCUAGGUAAUUCAUAUUACGUGGGAUCCUAGUCUUUGUCAUUUUAUGAGUGACAGUGACCACUAGAGUAUAGUGAUCUGUUUGUGUUCUUGCUAUCUCAUGUGUACACUUAAAGUGAAAUUCCUGUUCAUUUAGUAAUUUUACAUUUAACUUGUUGAGGAACUGUCUGUUUGCCAGUAGACUUAUUUUACAUUCUCACCAGCAAUGAAUAAUGGACCCAGUUUCUCCACAUCUUUGCCAACAUCUCUUGUUUCUUCACCAUUAGCCAUCCUAGUGAGUGAGAAUGGAGUGGAACCUCAUGGAGUCAGGUGAGCAUUGGGCUGCUAGUUAUAAGGUCAGUAGUUCAAACCCACCAGCAGCACUGAGGGAGACUAAAGCAGCUGUCUGUGUCUGUGAAGAUUUAAAGCUUCAGAAACCCUAUAUACGAGGGUUCCUAUGAAUUGGAAUCCUAUCAAUGGCAGUUUUGUUUGUUUAUCUCCUUUGGAGUAGUCUAUUCAGGUUCUCUGCCAAUUUUAGAAUUUGGUUGCCUCUCUCUCUGUUGCAGAAAUUAAACUUUUCCCCCAGCAUAUUGACCAAGUCUUUACAUAGCUUUUCAGUCUUAAGAAUCUGACAAAAAAAAAAAAUCUGCUGACAAAAAAAGCCCCUUUUUUGGAUGUAGACAUUUAUUUACAGCUAUGAAUUUCCCUCUGGGCACUGCCUUUGUGGCAUGCCGUACGUUUUGGUAUGCUGUGCUUUUGAUCUCUAGUUCCAUUUUUCUUUUGAAAUUUACUGAGACUUGUUUUAUGGCCUAAAUUUUGAGACUCAAAAAAUUUGUGGAGCAAUAUCAUGAGGCUAGGGUGUGGGGAAGGGAGACAAUGGACAGAGGGAGACAAAGGCGUGAAAGAACAAUAAUAUAUCAUUGAUCAAGGUUUCACAAGGGGGGAAGGGUAGGGAGAAAGAGGAGCUGAUAUCAAGGACUCAAGUAGAAAGAAAUGGUUUUGGAACUGUUGAGGGCAACAUAUGCACACACGUGCUUACCACUGAAUGAUGAAUUGCUAUACAUUUGUAAGAGCCCCCCCCCCCAAAAAAAAAAAGUGUGGUGAGGUCCAUUAUCUUAAUUCCAUUCCCAUAGACGUUCUGAAGCCCUUCCUUCUGCAGAAUCGCCCCUAGGUGGUGGGUGUUCUCUCAGUGGGGGCUUCGCUCUAGAUGCUGCCGACACUGCUUGGAGUAGUUGGGGGGCCGGGUGCAGCACCGUAUGUCACCAUUUUGCUCUAACACCUCUUGUAGCUUUUAUUGAUGAAGGGCAGAAAAAUAUUCACUGAACCGAUAAUUACCAACCUUCAUCUUUUAACUAGAAUUAUUUAUUUAAUCACAAGCAUAAAGUGCCACUUACUUAUUCUUAGCUAUUGUUAUUACUUACAUGUUUCAACUCGUUCUUGGACCUGACUCUGUGGUGGUACCUCAGGUUAAAGGCUCCUAAUUGCAGAGUCGGCAGUUGAAAGCCACUGGCUGCUCCACAGGAGAAAGAUUUACAGCCUUGGCAACUGCGAAGGGCAGUCCUGUUCUGCCCGACAGGGUGACUGGACGGCAGAGGGUGAGUUUCAUCUCUACUUACUGAUUGUAUUGGAGUGCUUAAAUAGGCCUUCACUUUUCCCUAAAACCAAUUUAGUUUAAAGCAUGUUUAACAAAGUUAUUUUGUUCAUUACUGUUGUGUCUGAAUGGCUUGGGGGUGAAAAACUUGGGAGUCUAGAAUCACAAGUUUAAUGGCAGUUGACUGGAUCUAAAAUUCUAGGUUAGUGAUUCAUUGUUAUCCUGCAUCUAAUGCUGCUGGGAUGUACAAGGCUAGUUUCUCUGUAUACGAGGGGGCUUUAAAAAGUUUACAGAAAAGGGAAUGAGAAGACAAUAGAAUUUCCCCUCAUACUUUAUUCCGACUCUGCUUAUUCUUUAAAAAAUCAUUUUUUAAAGAUGCUCAGAAUCGUGUGGAAGGCUGCCUGAGGAACAUUCCUAAUGCAGUGCCAUGAGACUGCUCAGUACCCCUGGGGACCUGGCUCCCACCCACCACCGUGUGGCAUCACUCGAAGGUGCUUCUACAGAGACUCCAACAACCCUCCUCCAGGACGACACCAGAAUGGCCCCAGGGGCUUCCAAGACCGUCACUCUUUAUGGGAAAAUCAUCUGCAAAUCAAGCAGUCAUUUCACGAUGCAGUUACUGCAGUGAGGGAUGAGAACGGCGGACACAGAGCAUCCUGCUUACCUCAACCCGGGCUCCUAUGAUCACCUGCCACACUUCAUCUUCCUCCUGUGAGUUCAUUUUCCCCAGUAAAUUGGUGUAUUGUCGGUACAGUGAAAUUAAGGUAUAAACAGCCUGUAAAUGUAGAAAAAAAAACAGGCCUGAGUUAAAAUAGGUGAGGCUCGGACCUUCGAGUUCCCUUACGCUCACUGAAACUGCACCGCUCCCUGUGGGGGGAGGUCAGAUGCGCAGGCAUUCCCUCUCCUGAGGGCAAUCAGUUGCCAGACUGCUGUC
Long non-coding RNA from Echinops telfairi (small Madagascar hedgehog), 3865 nucleotides. RefSeq lists it as uncharacterized. The transcript is spliced from 3 exons. The record is from RefSeq and is a predicted model, not a curated record. Lineage: Eukaryota; Metazoa; Chordata; Mammalia; Afrosoricida; Tenrecidae.